GUGGAUCCAGAAGAAUGGCAAAUACAUAAAAUGGCCAAAGAGGCUCAACGUAGACACUUCAGGAAAGCAGGACAAGAGCAAGUUUCUGCAUGUUCCAUAAGGACCAUGAUUACCACUCAUGAGUGCAGGCAGCUCAAAGAUGAGAUUGAACGAUUGAUUAGGGACAGUCCCUUAGAAGGUUCACAAGGGAUAAUCGAAACGAUGGACCUUUAGAAAGGAGGGGAUCAACCUUCAGAAGCAAAGAUAUCACCAUCAUAGAGAAGCAUAAUGGCCUAAUUGGUGUAAUCAAUGUCAUUGCAG
Molecule: unclassified non-coding RNA, 300 nt
Filed under: Hevea brasiliensis (rubber tree)
Lineage: Eukaryota; Viridiplantae; Streptophyta; Magnoliopsida; Malpighiales; Euphorbiaceae
Source: RNAcentral